This 373-nucleotide ribosomal RNA is filed under the name uncultured organism. Its description in RNAcentral is "bacterial SSU rRNA". It matches the Rfam family "Bacterial small subunit ribosomal RNA", at positions 526 to 896 of the family's 1533-position model. The record is from RNAcentral.
CGUAGGGUGCGAGCGUUAAUCGGAAUUACUGGGCGUAAAGCGUGCGCAGGCGGUUUGUUAAGAUAGGCGUGAAAUCCCCGGGCUCAACCUGGGAACUGCGCUUAUGACUGGCAAGCUAGAGUACGGCAGAGGGGGUGGAAUUCCACGUGUAGCAGUGAAAUGCGUAGAGAUGUGGAGGAACACCAAUGGCGAAGGCAGCCCCCUGGGUCGAUACUGACGCUCAUGCACGAAAGCGUGGGUAGCAAACAGGAUUAGAUACCCUGGUAGUCCACGCCCUAAACGAUGUCAACUAGGUGUUGGAUGGGUAAAACCAUUUAGUACCGGAGCUAACGCGUGAAGUUGACCGGCCUGGGGAGUACGGCCGACAAGGUUA